Molecule: transfer RNA, 74 nt
Filed under: Candidatus Omnitrophota bacterium
Lineage: Bacteria; Pseudomonadati; Candidatus Omnitrophota
Description: tRNA-Ile
Rfam family: tRNA
About the family: Transfer RNA (tRNA) molecules are approximately 80 nucleotides in length.
Source: RNAcentral
GGGCCCAUAGCUCAGCUGGUUAGAGCAGCUGACUCAUAAUCAGCGGGUCUCAGGUUCGAAUCCUGAUGGGCCCA